Molecule: long non-coding RNA, 550 nt
Organism: Siniperca chuatsi (mandarin fish)
Lineage: Eukaryota; Metazoa; Chordata; Actinopteri; Centrarchiformes; Sinipercidae
Exons: 3
Source: RefSeq, a predicted model, not a curated record
CAGAUUCCAGGUACAACAUCUGAAGUUUCUGUCCAGAAGAGUGCAGUCCUAGGACCAGCUAAGACACUGCGCAGAACCCUCAAACCAGGCCUCUGGUAUAGGACCCGAGCUUGAGGAUGACACAUGCCACCCCACGGGGUGGUGAUGCUGCAAAACCUCAUGAACCAAGGACUGGAUAAGCACAACAUAGUCCGGUUUGAUGAGGCCUUUAAAUUAGAUACAUCAUCAUGCUGAUGUAUCAUUGAAGACAGAGCUUAUUGAUUUCGGCUUGGCGAUUCCCAGAUCAGAAGCCUGGCAGGGAGGUCGGUAUCAAGCUCGUUACUGCAGGCCAUUGACAUGUGUUCGCUGGUCGUGGUGGCCUUGCUUGGAGUUGUCCUUUUUCCUGGGCGCUGUGACUAUGACUCGGUAAGUAAUUCACCAUCACUGGUCUCUGCUUGCUUUCUGCUGUGUCCCUAAUAAAUCUGUUACCGCUGCACCAGCCAGACAAUCAUUUUUGAGAGGUGUCUGUCAGUCACAUGUAUCCAUACAUAAGGAUGGCAAUGCCUCCCUG